Nicotiana tabacum (common tobacco) is the source of this 904-nucleotide non-coding RNA. NCBI's taxonomy places the organism in Eukaryota, Viridiplantae, Streptophyta, Magnoliopsida, Solanales, Solanaceae. The record is from RefSeq and is a predicted model, not a curated record.
UGUACGUACCCUUGUGAGUUCAACUCUUUCCUGUUUCAAAUAAAUAAGUUUCAGGAAUUUGAGACUUCGAAUUUGCAAGAAAAAAUAUUUCAAUUUGGAUUUGGCUUGAAAAAGAGUUCAAGUUCUAUCUUUACGAUUUACUGUACUUCAUGACGUCUUAAUCCAUUUACAAGCCAAAGGAUGGCAUAAACAUCAACUCUCAAACCAAAAUUCCACAUUGUUCAUCAUUGCUAAGAAAGUUCCCCUUGGAAUAGGCUUUAAGCAUACAAGUGAAGAAUAUUGACCGUCUUGCCAGUUUUUAAUGAUGAUAUGCAGGUUAACAAAAUUGGUGGGAGAUCAAAGUUGUAAAGAAAAAUAGACCAGGGAGAGUGAUGCAACUAUACCUUCAACUAAAUUGUCCUGCAGAGUCACUGGACACCACUGUCAGUUCAGUUUUGAAGAACAUAAAUUGAGGAGUAUUUCUUGCAGACAAGUGCUAUUCUUUCGACGUUAGUUGAUAUCGUUGAUGAAGAAAGGAUUGAAAAGACAAUUGCAAAAUGUUGGAUGAUUUACUGGAGAUUCAUCUUCUCCGGUAAAUCACAUCUAUUCUUUAAUAUCAGAUAGACUCCAUAUGCCACUAGCAGCUUUUGUGGUUACAAGAUUCUGAGCAGACUAUAACCUUCAAUAGAGCAGACUAUAAUGAAGUAGUUCUUAUCCAAUUUAACCCCUGAUAUUUGAGGUAGCUUAUUAACAAGAAGUGGCAAGCCGAUGGAUAUAUUAGCAAAGCUAAAUGAGUUAGUUGGUUUUUCGCCUCAUCAAGAAAUUAAACUUUUUGAGGUUAAUUUUUUUCCUCUUAUUAUUCUCUUGCUGCUAAGUUUUUAACUCAAGCCCUUUUUUUACAAGUCACUUGGGAUUGGUAGUCCUU